AGGAGAGUUUGAUCCUGGCUCAGGAUGAACGCUGGCGGCGUGCCUAACACAUGCAAGUCGAACGGAGAUUUGACGCUGAUGAGGCUUCGGCGGAUUCUUGUUAAAUCUUAGUGGCGGACGGGUGAGUAACGCGUGGGCAACCUGGCUCGUACUGGGGGAUAGCAGUUGGAAACGACUGAUAAUACCGCAUAAGCGCACAGUACCGCAUGGUACAGUGUGAAAAACUCCGGUGGUACGAGAUGGGCCCGCGUCAGAUUAGCCAGUUGGUGGGGUAACGGCCUACCAAAGCAACGAUCUGUAGCCGGACUGAGAGGUCGGACGGCCACAUUGGGACUGAGACACGGCCCAAACUCCUACGGGAGGCAGCAGUGGGGGAUAUUGCACAAUGGGCGAAAGCCUGAUGCAGCGACGCCGCGUGAGUGAAGAAGUAUUUCGGUAUGUAAAGCUCUAUCAGCAGGGAAGAAAGACUCGUAAGAGAGAUGACGGUACCUGACUAAGAAGCCCCGGCUAACUACGUGCCAGCAGCCGCGGUAAUACGUAGGGGGCAAGCGUUAUCCGGAUUUACUGGGUGUAAAGGGAGCGCAGACGGCUUUGCAAGUCUGAAGUGAAACCCCACGGCUCAACCGUGGGCUUGCUUUGGAAACUGUAGAGCUAGAGUACUGGAGAGGUAAGCGGAAUUCCUAGUGUAGCGGUGAAAUGCGUAGAUAUUAGGAGGAACAUCGGUGGCGAAGGCGGCUUACUGGACAGCAACUGACGUUGAGGCUCGAAGGCGUGGGGAGCAAACAGGAUUAGAUACCCUGGUAGUCCCCU
This 810-nucleotide ribosomal RNA is filed under the name uncultured Bacillota bacterium. RNAcentral's name for it is "bacterial SSU rRNA". It matches the Rfam family "Bacterial small subunit ribosomal RNA", at positions 1 to 799 of the family's 1533-position model. The record is from RNAcentral. Lineage: Bacteria; Bacillati; Bacillota.